This is a long non-coding RNA of Cyprinus carpio carpio, 2283 nucleotides long. Lineage: Eukaryota; Metazoa; Chordata; Actinopteri; Cypriniformes; Cyprinidae. The record is from Ensembl.
UAGUUGGGUCGGUCCUAAAUUGACAGGGUCGGUCAGUUAUGGCAAACAAGAAUAUUUUUAAGGAUGGCCUAAUAGUUAUUUGAAACUUGUGAAGUUUGUUAACAUAUUAACAACACAGCUAGUAAUGACAGCGUUCGGUUUUAUUGUUGUCAUCAAUUAAUACACUUCUUAAUUACAAUAAUACAUUACAUAUUUAUACAUUAUUACAUUAUGUUGUCAAUAAAUUACCUUUAUCAGUAAGUUUUGGCCACUGCCUGACAUCAUCUACCCAAUUUUCCCUUUCACCAGACAUUUUCUUUAAUGAGCAGGAUCCGCUUUCAUUGAAAUGUCAUUAGAGGGCACCGGCAAGUGUCACACCGUCACACCUCGCAGGCACGCAGUAAUGGCGGCAGGCAAGAUGGCGGCGCCCAUAGAGUUUGCGGCGGAUUUGUGUCUAAAACUUCAUUCAUCAAGCCAAGAAGUGAACCUUAGAACACCAGGCACUGGAACACAGAAAUAAAUUAGACAGCAAUUAGCAUCGAUUGUUAGUUUGUUUGUGAAUGCUUCCUUAAUUUUCCCAUGUAUAGUUGGAUUUAUGUAUGUGUAUGUAUGUAUUUUAAUGUAUGUUGAUGAGCUCACCAAGCAAAUUCCAAGCAACUAGGGCAAUAAAUAAAUAAAUGAACUAUGCAUAUAUACACAGAAAAUGUUAUACAUGUUUGAAAAUGGCCCUUAAUAUCGCAUUAGUGAGGUCACUUCAACCCACAGACUUUAAAAACAACCUACAGCAACAAAGAAAAAAAAAUAGCCCAAUUCUUGAAAACGUCACACAGCACUGAGUCAUACAGAAGUAAAUACAGAGAACAUUAAAGUAAGCGAUUAUGCAUUUAUUUAUAGUAGGGGUCACCAAACUUGGUCCUGGAGGGCUGGUGCCUUGCAGAGUUUAGCUCCAACCCUAAUUAAACACACCUGAACUAGCUAAUCAAAGUCUUGCCAGGUAUACUAAAAACUUUCAGGCAGGUGAACUGCGGCAAGUUUGAGCUAAACUCUGCAGAACACUGGUCCUCCAGUAAUGAGUGUGGUGACCCCUGAUUUAUAGUGUUAGCUGCCAUGGAAGCCAGCAAAAUUAUGCACAGGCAAUAUGAAAAAUGAAGACAAACUAGAGCAGAGUUUGAAACUUGGCCACUCUAAAAUAUUGAUAUUGUUCUCUGCCAACCAUUUCUUGACCCCUUUUGCUGUAUGUUACGAGUUAUCUAACGACCCACAACACACAUCAAAAGUGGUCCAAGCCAGAGUCCAGUCCUGAAUCCAAUUGAAAAUGUGUUAAGACAACUGAAGACCAGAUUGAUGGACAGGAAGCCUUCCAACAUCAAGGACCUGGAGAUCUUUGCAGAGGAGUGGUCCAAAAUCCCAGUGGAAAUGUGCAAAAUAACUGCUGUGAUGAAAAAUGAAGACUUUUACACAGUUUUUUUUUUUUUUGAGAAAGAGUGUGAAUAGCUGUGAACAUGGAAUGUUCUGUAGAUGAAAAAAAAAAUCUCUGACAAAAUUACUUUCUUUUGUCACCUUUUUGUGUCAUUUCCAGCCAGAUGACACCUAUUUGUCAGAUAAAAAUUCAACACAAUUAAAAAUUUGGCAAUCAAGCAUGGUAUGAGUGGCCGUUUAAGAUACAAACAAGUAAAAAUUAUUUAACAGCAAGUUUGAGAAAAGACAAUACAGAAAAGGUAAGAAGGAUUAUUUGAGAAAAGCGCAUAUUACUGCAAUUGGCAGUGAAUCAUAAUAUAACUAACAUCCCUCAGUGUCACAUUUCUGAUUCUUGUGAAAUUGGCCAAUUAUAUAUUUUGACUCACAUGUAAGUAUGGCCCAAAAUCCUCCAAUGUUAUGAUGGGUUUCAGCAUCUGUCUCUUCACAAACGGAUUGUUUCAUAGCCAGUCUGAGAAUCCGAAAUAACAACAAGCCUCCCUUUAACAGAGAAAACACAUUUACAGAAAACAUAAAUGUCACAUUCUGUCAAGCUAAACAUCACAAUUAAAAAUCAUGUUCUAAUUUAAAUUAUGACAUUUCAUGUACCUAAAUAAUCAAAAUUAUGCCUAUUAUUUAAUAGAAAAAGGAAACAAGUCGUUUUGUAAAAAAGAAGAAAAAAAGAUAAAGCCAUUUCUUGUUGUUGUGUGUAUCAUUAUAGGUCAUGACUAAGAGCGGGAAUAAAACAUUUGAAUGCAAUGGAAUACGUCUCGCGAGUGGUGUUUAAUAACUGUCACUAACGUCAACAACGUCUGUUGGUUGAAGACGGUGGUGGAAAUAGACUGAAUC